UUAUUUAAAUACAACGUUAUUGAUAGCUAUUAUUUCUCUUUAAUUUUUUUUUUUGUAAUUGUUUCUGUAAUUUUAUGAGGGUUUUGUACAAUUGGUAUCCACGUUUUAUUUGCACCUGAAUCUACAAUAUUCUUUCAUAUUUUGAGCAUUAGAAGAAGACAAUGUCAUUAAGCAAACCAUCAACACUCGAGUACACAAGUCCUAUUAGCCAAACCACCAGGUCUUAGACA
RNAcentral lists this long non-coding RNA (230 nucleotides) under Brassica napus (rape). RNAcentral describes it as "long non-coding RNA (BNAP_LNC015619)". Lineage: Eukaryota; Viridiplantae; Streptophyta; Magnoliopsida; Brassicales; Brassicaceae. The record is from RNAcentral.